CCUACGGGAGGCAGCAGUGGGGAAUAUUGGACAAUGGGCGAAAGCCUGAUCCAGCAAUGCCGCGUGAGUGAUGAAGGCCUUAGGGUUGUAAAGCUCUUUUACCCGGGAUGAUAAUGACAGUACCGGGAGAAUAAGCUCCGGCUAACUCCGUGCCAGCAGCCGCGGUAAUACGGAGGGAGCUAGCGUUAUUCGGAAUUACUGGGCGUAAAGCGCACGUAGGCGGCUUUGUAAGUAAGAGGUGAAAGCCUGGUGCUCAACACCAGAACUGCCUUUUAGACUGCAUCGCUUGAAUCCAGGAGAGGUGAGUGGAAUUCCGAGUGUAGAGGUGAAAUUCGUAGAUAUUCGGAAGAACACCAGUGGCGAAGGCGGCUCACUGGACUGGUAUUGACGCUGAGGUGCGAAAGCGUGGGGAACAAACAGGAUUAGAUACCCUGGUAGUCCACGCCGUAAACGAUGAUAACUAGCUGUCGGGGCUCUUAGAGCUUCGGUGGCGCNGCUACGCAUUAAGUUAUCCGCCGUCGGGAGGUACGGCCGGCCGAACGGUUAAAACGUUAAAACGUUAAGUAAGUUAGUACGGCGUGAGACGUGCCGAACGGACGACGACGAGGGAGGUAGG
This 616-nucleotide ribosomal RNA is filed under the name uncultured bacterium. RNAcentral's name for it is "bacterial SSU rRNA". The stretch from base 1 to 517 matches the Rfam family "Bacterial small subunit ribosomal RNA", at positions 338 to 873 of the family's 1533-position model. The record is from RNAcentral.